AGAGUUUGAUCCUGGCUCAGAACGAACGUUGGCGGCGUGGAUUAGGCAUGCAAGUCGGGGGAAUCCCAGCAAUGGGGGAACCGGCGUAAGGGGCAGUAAGGCAUGGGUACCUACCCUAGGGUUCGGGAUAGCCAUCAGAGAUGGUGGGUAAUACCGGAUGAUGUCGUGAGACCAAAGAUUUAUCGCCCUUGGAGGGGCCCAUGUGAUAUUAGCUUGUUGGUGAGGUAAUGGCUCACCAAGGCAAAGAUGUCUAGCGGGUGUGAGAGCACGACCCGCGCCACUCGCACUGAGACACUGGCGAGACACCUACGGGUGGCUGCAGUCGAGGAUCUUCGGCAAUGAGCGCAAGCUUGACCGAGCGACGCCGCGUGUGCGAUGAAGGCCUUCGGGUUGUAAAGCACUGUCGAGGGGGAGAAAGGGGAGACCUUGAUCUAUCCCUGG
RNAcentral lists this ribosomal RNA (441 nucleotides) under uncultured bacterium. Its description in RNAcentral is "bacterial SSU rRNA". It matches the Rfam family "Bacterial small subunit ribosomal RNA", at positions 8 to 473 of the family's 1533-position model. The record is from RNAcentral.